ACGGGGCGCAGCAGGCGCGAAACCUCCUCAAUGCACUAACGUGCGAAGGGGUUACCUCGAGUGCUAUCUGAUGAAGGUGGCUUUUCCAUGGUCUAAAAAGCCUAGGGAAUAAGAGGGGGGCAAGACUGGUGUCAGCCGCCGCGGUAACACCAGCCCCUCGAGUGGUGGGGAUGAUUAUUUGGCCUAAAGCGUCCGUAGCCUGCCGGAUAAGUUUCCCGUUAAAUCCGACGUCUCAAGCGUUGGACUGCGGGAAAUACUGUCUGGCUAGAGAGUGGGAGAGGUUAGCGGUAUUCUGGGGGUAGGGGCGAAAUCCUUUGAUCCCCGGAGGACCACCAGUGGCGAAGGCUGCUAACUAUAACACGUCUGACGGUCAGGGACGAAAGCUGGGGUAGCGAACCGGAUUAGAUACCCGGGUAGUCCCAGCCGUAAACGAUGCAUGCUAGGUGUUGGGUUGGCCACGAGCCACCCCAGUGCCGCAGGGAAGCCGUUAAGCAUGCCGCCUGGGAAGUACGAUCGCAAGGUUGAAACUUAAAGGAAUUGGCGGGGGAGCACCACCAGGCGUGAAGCCUGCGGUUUAAUUGGAGUCAACGCCGGGAACCUUACCGGAAGCGACAGCAGAGUGAAGGCCAGAUUGAAGAUCUUACCAGACGAGCUGAGAGGAGGUGCAUGGCCGUCGCCAGUUCGUGCCGUGAGGUGUUCUCUUAAGUGAGAUAACGAACGAGACCCGUACCACAUGUUGCCAUCAGAAUCUAAAGGAUUGCUGGGCACUCUUGUGGGACUGCAGCCGAUAAGGCUGAGGAGGGUAUGGGCCACGGCAGGUCAGUAUGCCCCGAAUCUUCCGGGCCACACGCGGGCUGCAAUGGUACAGACAGAGGGCUGCCACCCCGAGAGGGGGAGCCAAUCCCUAAACUGUAUCUCAGUUGGAAUUGAGGGCUGCAACCCGCCCUCAUGAACAUGGAAUGCCUAGUAACCGCCAGUCAUCAUCUGGCGGUGAAUACGUCCCUGCUCCUUGCACACACUGCCCGUCGAACCACCCGAAUGAGGUUUGGGUGAGGAAUGGUCGAAAGUUGGCCGUUUCGAACCUGGGUCUCGUAAGGAGGGUUAAGUCGUAACAAGGUAGCCGU
RNAcentral lists this ribosomal RNA (1124 nucleotides) under uncultured crenarchaeote. Its description in RNAcentral is "bacterial SSU rRNA". It matches the Rfam family "Archaeal small subunit ribosomal RNA", at positions 325 to 1450 of the family's 1478-position model. Lineage: Archaea; Thermoproteati; Thermoproteota. The record is from RNAcentral.